This is a long non-coding RNA of Homo sapiens (human), 1737 nucleotides long. NCBI's taxonomy places the organism in Eukaryota, Metazoa, Chordata, Mammalia, Primates, Hominidae. The record is from Ensembl.
GAUGACAUAGAUGGCAGGGCGAUGGCGUUGAGGAGGCUGUCAACAUCUCGGAGUUCUUCCCAUGUGCAAGGCAGGGUGCUGAGCCUGUGAUGCGUAUGUAUGAAGCCGUGUCAUGCUCACCACUCCCCUAUUGAGCAGUGUGCGAUCCCCAACCUCUGAUGUUACACGGAACCAGCUACCCAACGAGUUGUUUUUUACAUUUCCCUUUUGGUGUUCUAUUUAUCUGGCCUUAAACAGGCCUGGCUGAGAAUAUUUAAAAUCAGAGAACGCACGGCUGGACACAAGGCAAACCGUAUUCCACACGCGCAUUUGCUUAGGAGCAGAGUUCAGCAACGUGACGCUGCCUCCCAAGGGCUUGGGUUGUUCCCCCAUCCUCUCUCCACGACUCCGUCCCACCUUCCCAGUACUUAAAAGACGACGGCAGUAACCAACAAUGAAUGCCCCAGCUCAGGAGAGCAGCUUUGUGACCGGAAGGCCACGGCUUCCAGGAGCCUGAGGAGGGAAGGUCAGCCCUGAGGAGGGAACAGCACAAGCCAGGCUCGCGUGUUGACAUGAAGGGUUCUCUGAGCCCAGCCUGAGCAAAUACUAACACACACCGCCUGUGCUGGCUACUGUCUAGCAGCCACUGGUCCCGAAACUCCACACAGUCAGGCCAUCUCUGAAGCCGCCAACACGCACCUACCUUCUGGGCAAGAACACGAAUCUGUCAUUUGCACUCGUGUAUUUGCAAUCGGUGCGAACACUCACAGUCUCUAUGCUGCAUGUGGGGAACACGCAGCCAUUUCAACUAUGAAAAAAAAGAAGACGGCAGACAACAGUUUAAAAAAAGGAGACCAGGAGCAUCAUAUUUCACUGAGUAAAUUGACAAAAGGUCAAAAAGCUUGAUCUUGGCCACUGAUGUGCUUGGUCUGAAAGCUAAACUGCCACUUAAAUAUUCAUAGGCAAGCGCGGUAGCUGCAGCCUCCGGUUGCCCUGAGUCCACAGAGGAGCAAGGCUGGGGCCAUUUUAUGAGAAAAAACAAGCUCCCUCCCGAGCCGGGUUCUGGGCAGGAGAGGACUCUGCUCCUGCAACCAGCCCGCACCCGCUGAGCCUUCGUUGCUGUGUCCUGUAUCCCAGAAGAAUGUGAGUGAUGGUCUUGCACAGGGAGGCGGGUGGCAAUAGACCAGGCGGAGAUGCAAGUGCACAACGUGAGAAAAAAUGCUGAAACUCUCGGCUCUAAACCAUGCUCUUGGCAUCCUCACCUCACUCAAUCUCCCUUCCUCCACCAUGCCAACCUCCCUUCCUCCACCAUGCCAACCUCCCUUCCUCCACCAUGCCAGCCUCCCUCCCUCCACCAUGCCAGCACAGGGACUCCCCGUAAAUCAUCUUCAUCCCCCUUUGUGGAAAGACUGAAGAUCUGUAUAUGACAAGGUCAAGAGUGGGCUCACCCAGUGCUAUCCAAGAGAAACACCGUGUCAGCCACCUGCAUAACUUUACACUGUCUAGUGGUCACCUUAAAAAAAGUGGAAAGUAACAGAUAAAACUAAUUUUCAUAUUUUAUUUCACUCAAUGUAUCCGAAAUAUUACCAUUUCAACAUGGAAUGAAUAAUUAAAAUUAUUAAUGUCGGCCGGGUGCGGUGGCUUAUGCCUGUAAUCCCAGCACUCUGGGAGGCCAAGGCAGGUGGAUCACGAGGUCAGGAGAUCGAGACCAUCCUGGCUAACACGGUGAAACCCCAUCUCUACUAAAAAUACAAAAAA